GAUGAACGCUGGCGGCGUGCCUAAUACAUGCAAGUCGAGCGAACAGAUGAGGAGCUUGCUCCUCUGACGUUAGCGGCGGACGGGUGAGUAACACGUGGAUAACCUACCUAUAAGACUGGGAUAACUUCGGGAAACCGGAGCUAAUACCGGAUAAUAUAUUGAACCGCAUGGUUCAAUAGUGAAAGACGGUUUUGCUGUCACUUAUAGAUGGAUCCGCGCCGCAUUAGCUAGUUGGUAAGGUAACGGCUUACCAAGGCAACGAUGCGUAGCCGACCUGAGAGGGUGAUAGGCCACACUGGAACUGAGACACGGUCCAGACUCCUACGGGAGGCAGCAGUAGGGAAUCUUCCGCAAUGGGCGAAAGCCUGACGGAGCAACGCCGCGUGAGUGAUGAAGGUCUUCGGAUCGUAAAACUCUGUUAUUAGGGAAGAACAAAUGUGUAAGUAACUAUGCACGUCUUGACGGUAACUAAUCAGAAAGCCACGGCUAACUACGUG
Molecule: ribosomal RNA, 497 nt
Filed under: uncultured bacterium
Lineage: Bacteria
Description: partial 16S ribosomal RNA
Rfam family: Bacterial small subunit ribosomal RNA
Source: RNAcentral